CCUACGGGAGGCAGCAGUGAGGAAUAUUGGUCAAUGGGCGCGAGCCUGAACCAGCCAAGUAGCGUGAAGGAUGACUGCCCUACGGGUUGUAAACUUCUUUUAUAAAGGAAUAAAGUGAGGCACGUGUGCCUUUUUGUAUGUACUUUAUGAAUAAGGAUCGGCUAACUCCGUGCCAGCUGCCGCGGUAAUACGGAGGAUCCGAGCGUUAUCCGGAUUUAUUGGGGUUAAAGGGAGCGUAGAUGGGUUGUUAAGUCAGUUGUGAAAGUUUGCGGCACAACCGUAAAAUUGCAAUUGAUACUGGUGUUAUUGAGUAGAGGAGAGGUAGGCGGAAUGCGGGGUGGAGGGGUGAAAGG
RNAcentral lists this ribosomal RNA (353 nucleotides) under uncultured bacterium. RNAcentral's name for it is "partial 16S ribosomal RNA". It matches the Rfam family "Bacterial small subunit ribosomal RNA", at positions 338 to 688 of the family's 1533-position model. The record is from RNAcentral.